This 549-nucleotide ribosomal RNA is filed under the name uncultured Glomus. Its description in RNAcentral is "SSU rRNA". It matches the Rfam family "Eukaryotic small subunit ribosomal RNA", at positions 548 to 1098 of the family's 1831-position model. The record is from RNAcentral. Lineage: Eukaryota; Fungi; Glomeromycota; Glomeromycetes; Glomerales; Glomeraceae.
UUGGAGGGCAAGUCUGGUGCCAGCAGCCGCGGUAAUUCCAGCUCCAAUAGCGUAUAUUAAAGUUGUUGCAGUUAAAAAGCUCGUAGUUGAAUUUCGGGGUUAGUAGGCUGGUUAUGCCACUGGUAUGUACUGGUCUUACUGAUUCCUCCUUCCUGAUGAACUGUAAUGCCAUUAAUUUGGUGUUGCAGGGAAUCUGGACUGUUACUUUGAAAAAAUUAGAGUGUUUAAAGCAGGCUAACGCUUGAAUACAUUAGCAUGGAAUAAUGAAAUAGGACGUUCGAUCCUAUUUUGUUGGUUUCUAGGAUUGACGUAAUGAUUAAUAGGGAUAGUUGGGGGCAUUAGUAUUCAAUUGUCAGAGGUGAAAUUCUUGGAUUUAUUGAAGACUAACUACUGCGAAAGCAUUUGCCAAGGAUGUUUUCAUUAAUCAAGAACGAAAGUUAAGGGAUCGAAGACGAUCAGAUACCGUCGUAGUCUUAACCAUAAACUAUGCCGACUAGGGAUCGGAUGAUGUUAAUUUUUUAAUGACUCAUUCGGCGCCUUACGGGAAAC